Molecule: long non-coding RNA, 627 nt
Filed under: Homo sapiens (human)
Lineage: Eukaryota; Metazoa; Chordata; Mammalia; Primates; Hominidae
Description: HSALNT0361855
Source: RNAcentral
GGCAAAUACAAUAUGAGUCUUAAAUAUCUUGUGGUGCCAGAAGGAGUGGAUGUUAUGACAGAGGAAUGUAGGAAGGAAGGACAUCAGGCUCUGAACAUCCAUCCAUGUAAAACAUUGAAUAAGACUAGCUGUUAAACAGGGCUUUUUCCCUAGAAAGGUGUCAUAAUUUUGACUCCAUCAAAUUCUUCUAACAGCAAGUACUCAUUUGGGCCCAUUUUACAGAAGAAGGAAAACUCUUGAGUGGCUCAAUCUUGGCUCUCCACAACCUCUGCCUCCUGGAUUCAAGCGAUUCUAUUCCCCAGCAUACCAAGAAGCUGGGAUUACAGUUUUGAAGAUGAAGAAAAACCGAAGCUAUAAGGACUGAGAUAAAAUGCCAAGGACAUAUAGCUUGAAAAAGGCAUGGCUAGAAUGUGCACUCAGUAUGACCUCAGCACCCAAGCUCUUUACCAAUAUAUGCUGCAAUCUUAGGCUCAUCAACUGCACACAGUGAAUUGUGGUGCUACUUCGUCUAAGCCUGCAUUCUCCUUCAGAGCCUACACCUCCCUUUCAGCUGUUUUCACCUUCACUGUUCCAAAAAAAGCAGACUUUGAAAACUUAAGAAAUGACAUUAAAAAAAAUCAAAAUCGA